This is a long non-coding RNA of Alosa sapidissima (American shad), 419 nucleotides long. RefSeq lists it as uncharacterized. NCBI's taxonomy places the organism in Eukaryota, Metazoa, Chordata, Actinopteri, Clupeiformes, Clupeidae. The record is from RefSeq and is a predicted model, not a curated record. The transcript has 2 exons.
GAUUGGGGAUGUAAAGCUGGAUCAUAAAAUAGAUAGAGAAAUACAAUUUCGUUGAUUAAUACUAGCUAGGCUAAUAAUUGUAAAACUCGACUCAUCUACGGAACGGACAUGCUACGGUAGUUAACACAGCUGUAUUCCGCAUUUUUCCAGAGCCCGUCUACCUGCAGCGACAUCACUGAAUGCAGCGAGACGAAAAGAGAAAACUACUAAAGAACAUGGAUUCGAAUAACAAAAACGAAAGUGAAAGUUGUAGCCUACCCUUAUCCGAGCGAGCUGGAAUGUAGCCACUACUACAACACGACCUAAGGAAUCAUAAUCGGCAGCUCUUUUUCAUUCCAAUCAAAACCUUACCUACUGUCUUGGUACUGUCUACCAUCUCGUCUAUUUCUAGCAUGCUACCUCCGGCCGUGGUAGAUUGA